CUUCUCCUCCCUCGCCGCCGCCGCCGCCGCCGCCGCCUCAGCCUUCGCCUCAGCCACCGCCGCCGCCCGCUCCCGCCCGCGCGCGGCGGGAUGGACGAUCAAUCCAGGAUGCUGCAGACUCUGGCCGGGGUGAACCUGGCCGGCCACUCGGUGCAGGGGGGCAUGGCCCUGCCGCCUCCCCCGCACGGCCACGAAGGGGCGGCAGGAAGCAGGACAUCGGCGACAUCCUCCACCAGAUCAUGACCAGAGCUUGGACGAGGCGCAAGCAAAGAAACAUGCCCUGAACUGUCAUAGAAUGAAACCCGCUCUCUUCAGCGUCCUGUGUGAGAUCAAAGAGAAAACAGGUGCAGUUGUACAUGCCUAUAAUCCCAGCUACUCCGGAGCCUGAGGCAGAAGGAUCACAAGUUCAAGUAUUUGGCGGACACAACAUCUUUGUCUGUAUGUGGUGCUGAGAAUCGAACCUGGGCCGCUCGCAUGCCAGGCGCGCGCGCCACCGCUUGAGCCACAUUCCCAGUCCCCGUUGAAAUCUUAAAGAGUAGAAUUUGACGAGACAUUUUGCUGAUGUAAAAUAUUUUGUUCAUUUUGACUCUCAAGUUUAUCUGUCAUAAUGAUUGAUUUGUAUUCAUUUUACACUGUAUAGUUUUGUAGCUGAGUUUUCUAUCUAUAAGGUAUAGAAAUCCCUGUUUAAGUUAAUAAUAAAUAAUUAUCUUCAAAGGUGA
This is a long non-coding RNA of Marmota monax (woodchuck), 719 nucleotides long. RefSeq lists it as uncharacterized. The record is from RefSeq and is a predicted model, not a curated record. The transcript is spliced from 2 exons. NCBI's taxonomy places the organism in Eukaryota, Metazoa, Chordata, Mammalia, Rodentia, Sciuridae.